Molecule: long non-coding RNA, 1001 nt
Filed under: Brachypodium distachyon (stiff brome)
Lineage: Eukaryota; Viridiplantae; Streptophyta; Magnoliopsida; Poales; Poaceae
Description: long non-coding RNA (BDIS_LNC001394)
Source: RNAcentral
GAUGUGGCUACACACUGCGUCACUGCCACGAUGGUGUUUUAUUUUUUUGUAUGCUAGCCGCCAAGUGGUACAAGCAUUAGCAGGGUUCAUAGGAUGACCGCAGCUUAAUUAAGGAAACCAGCUAUCAUCCCACUCGACUGGUAAAGAGCUUACGGGCAAUGCUUGAUUUUUAUUUUUAUUUGUGGGAAACGAUUUUUGUUGUUUUAGAGCGAAACAUGAAAGUUUUAGCAAAUCCUGCAUACAGUUUUGGCUGGAUUGUAUGGUGAGACCUGGGCUGGCCUUCUUGGGCUUUACAUACAGUUUUGGAGUCGCUUGAGAUAAAUAUUUGCGGCCUUUCGAGCCCAUAUAUAUAAUGGCUUAGAUACUGUGAUGGAAAAAAUGGAGUCUGUCAUGUAGAAUAGCGACCCUUACAAGUUCUGUAGAAAUGAGCUACAAAAGAAAAUCUAGUAAUUUUGAGGCUCUCUAAAUCAAUCCAAAGAAUGUGGUUUGACGUCGCAUCUGAAAACAAUUUUGCGUCAAGUCAUAUCUACCGUCAAAUAAAGAGUGACUCACUCAAAGGGAUCAGUGUCAGUUGCACUAGACAACAGACGGCUCUAGUCAAAGCAGAUCAUUGUCCAUCGCUGGGAAAGGAAAUCAUCAACCACGGACAAGUAACCUUUUACGACUUCCCCGCGAGAGAAAAAAAAAAAGGUAGCCUUUCACCACUGACGAGUUGGUGAGCACUGAAGAGAAGUGUAUCGGUGGGAUGAAGUCAUGAAGAUGAUGCAGAUGCAUACACGGUCCGUAUAUAAUUGGUACGCGCAAUUCGAAGUUCGAACAGUGAACAAUAAUACAGUACAGAGGAGAAAUAAAAUGGAAUAGAAGAAUAUUAGCAAAACAAAUAAGAAGAAAAGAAAAGGAGAAAUGAUAUCUUAAGGGUCUUUAAAUUAAAAAAGACAAGUAAAGAAAAUACUAUAAUGGGCCGGCCCAACGGGUCGCUGCGCAGGCCUCCCUUUCCCUCG